RNAcentral lists this ribosomal RNA (233 nucleotides) under uncultured bacterium. Its description in RNAcentral is "partial 16S ribosomal RNA". It matches the Rfam family "Bacterial small subunit ribosomal RNA", at positions 97 to 334 of the family's 1533-position model. The record is from RNAcentral.
GGCGCACGGGUGAGUAACACGUGAAUUACAUGCCCUUCAGUGGGGAAUAGCCCAGGGAAACUUGGAUUAAUACCCCAUGGUAUCGCAAGAUUAAAGGUGGCCAGCAAUGGCUGUCGCUGAAGGAUUGGUUCGCGCCCUAUCAGCUUGUUGGCGGGGUAACGGCCCACCAAGGCUACGACGGGUACCUGGUUUGAGAGGACGAUCAGGCACACUGGAACUGAGACACGGUCCAG